UAAAUCAUACUAAUAAUGGAAUUGUCACAGGGAUGACAAUUUUUUGGUCAUAUUUUGAUUUUGUAGCUUUUUUUAGUAAAUAAAAAACAUAAUUCAGUAGAUAAGAAGGGUAAAAAAGUGAAAGAAAAACUUUAUUGUUGUACUGUAUUUUUGUUUGUAAUUAAACAAAAUAUAGAAAUAUGAUUUUAAUAAUAUGAACAAAUCUCAAGAGACAGUAUUUAGAAAAUUUUAAUGAAAUAGUUAAUAGAGGGGUAAAUUUGGAUGCCAUUAAUAUAAUUAUUAAUUUUUUUGUCAAUUUUAUGAUUAAGCAUUUAAACAGUUUAUCUUACCAAGUGUUACUGGUCUGCCGGCCUCCCUAGCUACAAGCAAAUUUAAAAUUGUUCCAAAACGCGGAAGUAACAUUUUUUUAGAUUUUUUUAAUCAGCGCUAUGCAUUUACAUUUCCUCUCUCCGCCUAGUUAUUUCCGGUUAUUUCAAUGGCACACACGAUUGUGUUACAUAAACGAGCCAAUGAAAUUACAUUUUUGGGGAAAAUUAUUAAAAUUAAAUUGUUACAUAAUACAGAAAAUAGAAAAAAUUGAAUGAUGUAAUUUUCUUACGAUUUUAAAGGUUGAUCUGCAUAUUAAUCUUUUUGAAACACAGCUUGGUUUUAAUUAUAUUUAAAUUUUUGCCGUUGAGUUAAUUUUACAACAAGGAAAACUAGACUGAAUUCAACUUGGAUUUCCGUUUCUGAUAACUUGUGAAAAAAAUUCAAAACCAGACGCUAUCGCUUGCCUUUGUAUCCUUUAUAAGUUAUUAUUCUUAUUGUUAAAGAUCAAUUUUUUUAAAUAGUUUUUGUGUCUGCAAACAAGUAUAAAUUUAUAGAGGUUCCAGAAUUUUUUUUGUAGCAACAGCAGGACCGGAGCUUCGUCACAAUGAGUCAAAUCACUGAUGUAUGGAGGGGAAAUUUCGACGGCUCAUCAACAGCAGACACCUUGGCGUCGGUGAAUUUGAUCGUGGUAGUCUUCAAUGUGAUUGCAUGUUUGUCUGUGGCAGUGAUAAUUGCUGUACAAGUACUUCAGCAAAACGAUAAUGAUGUCAAUCGCGAAGAGCAACAAGUGGUUUCGUUGACGCAAUAAAAUUAAAUGUAGAUAAAUCAGAUAAAGUUUUGCCUGAUGUAGCCAAUUCAAAGGGACAAAGUCUGGAAGAAGUUGAUCAAAUGGCGUUUCAAAUUGGCACUAGUCGGAUUAUCAAAAAUAAAUACUUAUUUAAUAAAAAAAAAAAAAAAAAAAAAAAAAA
Neocloeon triangulifer is the source of this 1277-nucleotide long non-coding RNA. RefSeq lists it as uncharacterized. The transcript has 2 exons. Lineage: Eukaryota; Metazoa; Arthropoda; Insecta; Ephemeroptera; Baetidae. The record is from RefSeq and is a predicted model, not a curated record.